UACCAGCUCCCCGAGUGGUCGGGGCGAUUAUUGGGCCUAAAGCGUCCGUAGCCGGCCUAGUAAGUCUCCUGUUAAAUCCAGCGAUCCAAUCGCUGGACUGCAGGAGAUACUGCUAGGCUAGGGGGCGGGAGAGGCUGGCGGUAUUCCCGAGGGAGGGGCGAAAUCCUGAGAUCUCGGGAGGACCACCAGUGGCGAAGGCGGCCAGCUGGAACGCGCCCGACGGUGAGGGACGAAAGCCGGGGGAGCGAACCGG
Molecule: ribosomal RNA, 253 nt
Filed under: uncultured archaeon
Lineage: Archaea
Description: partial 16S ribosomal RNA
Rfam family: Archaeal small subunit ribosomal RNA
Source: RNAcentral